RNAcentral lists this ribosomal RNA (504 nucleotides) under uncultured bacterium. Its description in RNAcentral is "partial 16S ribosomal RNA". It matches the Rfam family "Bacterial small subunit ribosomal RNA", at positions 29 to 523 of the family's 1533-position model. The record is from RNAcentral.
AUUGAACGCUGGCGGCACGCCUAACACAUGCAAGUCGAGCGGUAACAUGGGUUGUAGCAAUACAACUUGAUGACGAGCGGCGGACGGGUGAGUAACACGUAGGAACCUGCCCAAUAGUGGGGGACAACCAAGGGAAACUUUGGCUAAUACCGCACGACCUCGGGAGAGGAAAGUUGCCCGCGAGGGUGACGCUAUUGGAGGGGCCUGCGGCCGAUUAGCUAGUUGGUGAGGUAAACGCUCACCAAGGCGAUGAUCGGUAACUGGUCUGAGAGGACGACCAGUCACACUGGGACUGAGACACGGCCCAGACUCCUACGGGAGGCAGCAGUGGGGAAUCUUGGACAAUGGGGGCAACCCUGAUCCAGCGAUGCCGCGUGGGUGAAGAAGGCCUUCGGGUUGUAAAGCCCUUUAGGUUGGGAGGAAGUUUGCGUGAGGAUAAUUCACGUAGAUUGACUGUACCGACAGAAUAAGCACCGGCAAACUCUGUGCCAGCAGCCGCGGUAA